This 433-nucleotide ribosomal RNA is filed under the name bacterium AEr47A. RNAcentral's name for it is "bacterial SSU rRNA". It matches the Rfam family "Bacterial small subunit ribosomal RNA", at positions 79 to 527 of the family's 1533-position model. The record is from RNAcentral.
UUUCGGGGGUACACGAGUGGCGAACGGGUGAGUAACACGUGGGUAAUCUGCCCUGCACUUCGGGAUAAGCCUGGGAAACCGGGUCUAAUACCGGAUAUGAGCUCCUGCCGCAUGGUGGGGGUUGGAAAGUUUUUCGGUGCAGGAUGAGUCCGCGGCCUAUCAGCUUGUUGGUGGGGUAAUGGCCUACCAAGGCGACGACGGGUAGCCGGCCUGAGAGGGUGAUCGGCCACACUGGGACUGAGACACGGCCCAGACUCCUACGGGAGGCAGCAGUGGGGAAUAUUGCACAAUGGGCGAAAGCCUGAUGCAGCGACGCCGCGUGGGGGAUGACGGUCUUCGGAUUGUAAACUCCUUUCAGUAGGGACGAAGCGAAAGUGACGGUACCUGCAGAAGAAGCACCGGCCAACUACGUGCCAGCAGCCGCGGUAAUACG